Molecule: long non-coding RNA, 398 nt
Organism: Gorilla gorilla gorilla (western lowland gorilla)
Lineage: Eukaryota; Metazoa; Chordata; Mammalia; Primates; Hominidae
Exons: 3
Source: RefSeq, a predicted model, not a curated record
GAGAGAAAGAGAAGCAGAGAGGUCACGACGCAGAACUUGAUUCUGGAGCCAGAGCUGGGGCAUCUUUUCCUGGGGUCUCCAGGUUGUGGUCAUGGACAGAGGCUGGAAAGGGGAAGGAGCCACCAACUGGGAACAACCCAUAGGCCCGACAGGUCCAGAACGGGCAUCCACACCACAGAAUUCAUGCUGCAACGGGAAUGAAUAAGACGAGUGCUACGCGCAACAACACGGGUGACUGUCGCAAACACCAUGUUGCAGGAAGGACAUGAUGGAUAAGAGAGUAAACACGAUUAGGAGAUUGAAGCUCAGAGACUUGUUGGAGAUCACAGCGGCACUGGGACACUUGGACCUAGAGCUUUUCUCCCUUCCGAGUCAGUGCAUGAUGCCAGAGAACAUCC